This 753-nucleotide ribosomal RNA is filed under the name uncultured Glomus. Its description in RNAcentral is "SSU rRNA". It matches the Rfam family "Eukaryotic small subunit ribosomal RNA", at positions 338 to 1092 of the family's 1831-position model. Lineage: Eukaryota; Fungi; Glomeromycota; Glomeromycetes; Glomerales; Glomeraceae. The record is from RNAcentral.
GGCCUACCAUGGUGGUAACGGGUAACGGGGUGUUAGGGCACGACACCGGAGAGGGAGCCUGAGAAACGGCUACCACAUCCAAGGAUGGCAGCAGGCGCGCAAAUUACCCAAUCCCGACACGGGGAGGUAGUGACAAUAAAUAACAAUACGGGGUUCUUAUGGAUCUCGUAAUUGGAAUGAGUACAAUUUAAAUCUCUUAACGAGGAACAAUUGGAGGGCAAGUCUGGUGCCAGCAGCCGCGGUAAUUCCAGCUCCAAUAGCGUAUAUUAAAGUUGUUGCAGUUAAAAAGCUCGUAGUUGAAUUUCGGGGUCAGUAGGUUGGUCAUGCCACUGGUAUGUACUGGUCUCACUGAUUCCUCCUUCCUGAUGAACUGUAAUGCCAUUAAUUUGGUGUUGCAGGGAAUCUGGACUGUUACUUUGAAAAAAUUAGAGUGUUUAAAGCAGGCUAACGCCUGAAUACAUUAGCAUGGAAUAAUGAAAUAGGACGUUCGAUCCUAUUUUGUUGGUUUCUAGGAUUGACGUAAUGAUUAAUAGGGAUAGUUGGGGGCAUUAGUAUUCAAUUGUCAGAGGUGAAAUUCUUGGAUUUAUUGAAGACUAACUACUGCGAAAGCAUUUGCCAAGGAUGUUUUCAUUAAUCAAGAACGAAAGUUAGGGGAUCGAAGACGAUCAGAUACCGUCGUAGUCUUAACCAUAAACUAUGCCGACUAGGGAUCGGAUGAUGUCAAUUUUUUAAUGACUCAUUCGGCGCCUUACG